This 468-nucleotide ribosomal RNA is filed under the name uncultured bacterium. Its description in RNAcentral is "bacterial SSU rRNA". It matches the Rfam family "Bacterial small subunit ribosomal RNA", at positions 30 to 478 of the family's 1533-position model. The record is from RNAcentral.
AUUGAACGCUGGCGGCAGGCCUAACACAUGCAAGUCGAGCGGAAACGAGUUAUCUGAACCUUCGGGGGACGAUAACGGCGUCGAGCGGCGGACGGGUGAGUAAUGCCUAGGAAAUUGCCCUGAUGUGGGGGUAACCAUUGGAAACGAUGGCUAAUACCGCAUAAUGCCUACGGGCCAAAGAGGGGGACCUUCGGGCCUCUCGCGUCAGGAUAUGCCUAGGUGGGAUUAGCUAGUUGGUGAGGUAAUGGCUCACCAAGGCACGAUCCCCUAGCUGGUCUGAGAGGAUGAUCAGCCACACUGGAACUGAGACACGGUCCAGACUCCUACGGGAGGCAGCAGUGGGGAAUAUUGCACAAUGGGCGCAAGCCUGAUGCAGCCAUGCCGCGUGUGUGAAGAAGGCCUUUGGGUUGUAAAGCACUUUCAGUCGUGAGGAAGGUGUGUAGUUAAUAGCUGCAUUAUUGACGUUAG